GACGAACCGUGCGAACGUUAUUCGGAAUCACUGGGCUUAAAGCGCGUGUAGGCGGCCCGGCACGUCCGUCGCUGAAAUCCCCCGGCUCAACCGGGGAAGUGGCGUGGAUACGACCGGGCUGGAGGGGGGUAGGGGGAGCCGGAACUUCCGGUGGAGCGGUGAAAUGCGUUGAGAUCGGAAGGAACGCCCGUGGCGAAAGCGGGCUCCUGGACCCCACCUGACGCUGAGACGCGAAAGCCAGGGAGCGAACGGG
RNAcentral lists this ribosomal RNA (253 nucleotides) under uncultured bacterium. RNAcentral's name for it is "partial 16S ribosomal RNA". It matches the Rfam family "Bacterial small subunit ribosomal RNA", at positions 524 to 776 of the family's 1533-position model. The record is from RNAcentral.